This 253-nucleotide ribosomal RNA is filed under the name uncultured bacterium. Its description in RNAcentral is "partial 16S ribosomal RNA". It matches the Rfam family "Bacterial small subunit ribosomal RNA", at positions 524 to 776 of the family's 1533-position model. The record is from RNAcentral.
UACGGGGGGGGCAAGCGUUGUUCGGAAUUACUGGGCGUAAAGGGCUCGUAGGUGGCCAACUAAGUCAGACGUGAAAUCCCUCAGCUUAACUGGGGAACUGCGUCUGAUACUGGAUGGCUUGAGUUUGGUAGAGGGAUGCGGAAUUCCAGGUGUAGCGGUGAAAUGCGUAGAUAUCUGGAGGAACACCGGUGGCGAAGGCGGCAUCCUGGACCAACACUGACACUGAGGAGCGAAAGCCAGGGGAGCAAACGGG